RNAcentral lists this long non-coding RNA (1298 nucleotides) under Piliocolobus tephrosceles (Ugandan red Colobus). RNAcentral describes it as "lncRNA (ENSPTEG00000011504.1)". Lineage: Eukaryota; Metazoa; Chordata; Mammalia; Primates; Cercopithecidae. The record is from RNAcentral.
ACAGAACAACAAAUGAUACAUUAAAAAAAAAAAAAACUACUACAUCUGCUACUACUAUCGGUACUACUAUACCUACAACUUCUAUCCCAACUACCACAAAUACAUCUACACCUACUACUACUGCUACUACUACUACUACUACUACUUUAUUAGAUACAAAAAAUUACAUUGAAGAAUAUUUUAAUAAAAUAACACCAGAAAAUUGUAUAAAGAACACAAAAUACGAAAACACAUCUAACACACAUAAUGACUUCACAAACAACAAAAACAACCAAAACCACAACCAAAACCACAACCAAAACCACAACCAAAACCACAACCAAAACCACAACCAAAACCAAAACCAAAACCAAAACCAAAACCAAAACCAAAACCAAAACCAAAACCAAAACCAAAACAACAAUGAUAUUACAUCUCAAUUGGAAAACUAUAAAAGUAGUGGGUAUGACAUAAAUAGCUAUAAUGGUGGCCACAGCAGUAAUGAUAGUAGUAAUAACAAUAUUUGUGGUCACGAUGUUAGUAGUGGUGUACAUUAUUGUGCUGUAGAUAGUAGAAACAAAAAAAAGAACCAAUCAUAUAAAGAGUUAUCAUAUAAAGAGUUAUCAUAUAAAGAGUUAUCAUAUAAAGAGUUACCAAAUAAAAACAUAAAUAACAUGUGUGUGAAUAAUAAUAAUGAAUACAAUACAAAUAUAUUAACUGAAAAAAUGGAAAACGGUUAUGGUAAUGAAAACAGACAGAAUAAAAAAUAUAAUAUUAAAAAUUUGGGUACUAAUAGAAGUAACAAUAUUAUGAUAAAUGAACAAACGGAUACGUCAUUACAAGAUGCAUACAUAAUGCGUCAGAACAAAAAUACAUAUAAAGACAUGCACAAUGAAAAUUGUUAUAAUAAUAAUGAGAGCAACAUUACUGCUACUUCUGUUACUUCUGCUGCUACUACUGUUACUUCUGCUGUUACUACUGUUACUUCUGCUGCUACUACUGUUACUUCUGCUGCUACUACUGUUACUUCUGCUACUACUACUGUUAAUUCUGCUGCUACUACUGUUACUACUAGUUCUGCUAACAAUAAUGACAAUGCUUCUAGCAUUAACAACCAUGUGUCACCAACACGUAAUAUACGCACAUGUAAUGGGAAAGAACAAAAUAAUGCUAUUAAGAAAACAUAUUAUUUAUUACAACCACCAAAAUACAACAUUAUUAAAGAUACAAAGAGUCAAAUGUUAAUGAUUUCAAAACAAAAAAUAAAAAAAAUAUGGAAUAAAUUUAAAAGUUCUACGUCUAAAGAACAAAGUAGUGUC